UGGGGAAUCUUGCACAAUGGGGGCAACCCUGAUGCAGCGACGCCGCGUGAGCGAUGAAGCCCUUCGGGGCGUAAAGCUCUUUCGACCGGAACGAUAAUGACGGUACCAGGAGAAGAAGCUGCGGCUAACUACGUGCCAGCAGCCGCGGUAAUACGUAGGCAGCAAGCGUUGUUCGGAGUUACUGGGCGUGAAGAGUGCGUAGGCGGUUUUCUAAGUUCGGUGUGAAAUCUCCCGGCUUAACUGGGAGGGUGCGCCGAAGACUGGGAAGCUGGAGUGUGGGAAAGGCAGGCGGAAUUCCUGGUGUAGCGGUGAAAUGCGUAGAUAUCAGGAGGAACACCGGCGGUGUAGACGGCUUGCUAGACCAUAACUGACGCUGAGGCACGAAAGCGUGGGUAGCAAACA
Molecule: ribosomal RNA, 402 nt
Filed under: uncultured bacterium
Lineage: Bacteria
Description: bacterial SSU rRNA
Rfam family: Bacterial small subunit ribosomal RNA
Source: RNAcentral